This 519-nucleotide ribosomal RNA is filed under the name Halanaerobium polyolivorans. RNAcentral describes it as "partial 23S ribosomal RNA". It matches the Rfam family "Bacterial large subunit ribosomal RNA", at positions 1637 to 2155 of the family's 2925-position model. The record is from RNAcentral. Lineage: Bacteria; Bacillati; Bacillota; Clostridia; Halanaerobiales; Halanaerobiaceae.
AGUGCCCGUACCGCAAACCGACACAGGUAGACGGGAAGAGAAUUCUAAGGCGCGCGAGAGAACCCUUGUUAAGGAACUCGGCAAAAUGACCCCGUAACUUCGGGAGAAGGGGUACCCUUUAGUGAUAGCUAGAGGGUCGAAGUGAAAAGAUCCAAGCGACUGUUUAUCAAAAACACAGGUCUCUGCUAAGUCGUAAGACGAAGUAUAGGGGCUGACGCCUGCCCGGUGCUGGAAGGUCAAGGAGAAGGCUUAGUACUUAUGUACGAAGGUCUGAACCUAAGCCCCAGUAAACGGCGGCCGUAACUAUAACGGUCCUAAGGUAGCGAAAUUCCUUGUCGGGUAAGUUCCGACCUGCACGAAUGGCGUAACGACUUGGAUGCUGUCUCAACAAGGGACUCGGUGAAAUUAAAUUGCCUGUGAAGAUGCAGGCUACCUGCGACAGGACGGAAAGACCCCGUGGAGCUUUACUGCAGCCUGAUAUUGGGUUUUGGUGUAGAAUGUACAGGAUAGGUGGGAGGC